GCGAACGGGUGAGUAACACGGUGGGUGAUCUGCCUGCACUUCGGGAUAAGCUUGGGAAACUGGGUCUAAUACCGGAUAGGAGCCAUCUUUAGUGUGGUGGUUGGAAAGUUUUUUCGGUGUAGGAUGAGCUCGCGGCCUAUCAGCUUGUUGGUGGGGUAAUGGCCUACCAAGGCGGCGACGGGUAGCCGGCCUGAGAGGGUGUACGGCCACAUUGGGACUGAGAUACGGCCAAG
RNAcentral lists this ribosomal RNA (233 nucleotides) under uncultured Actinomycetales bacterium. RNAcentral's name for it is "partial 16S ribosomal RNA". It matches the Rfam family "Bacterial small subunit ribosomal RNA", at positions 98 to 334 of the family's 1533-position model. The record is from RNAcentral. Lineage: Bacteria; Bacillati; Actinomycetota; Actinomycetes; Actinomycetales.